This is a long non-coding RNA of Apis dorsata (giant honeybee), 1361 nucleotides long. RefSeq lists it as uncharacterized. The record is from RefSeq and is a predicted model, not a curated record. Lineage: Eukaryota; Metazoa; Arthropoda; Insecta; Hymenoptera; Apidae. The transcript is spliced from 4 exons.
CCACCUAGACAUACGUUCGUUCAUCCAUACGUCAUGUGUGUGAUUCGCUUGAAGAUUUUCGUUAAUUGAAGGGAAAAACAUCGAGUGACGCGAUUGCUUCUUUGUGAAAGGAAAAUUUGUGAAAAUUUAAUUGGUGCAUAGAGAAUUGAUGAGUGAUUUGAGUAUAUAUUAUAAUAUAUAUAUUAUAAUAUAUGGUUCAGUGAGAUUUUGAGGAACCCCCAACAUCCGUUUCGGCGAUUGUCGUAGAUCCAUUAAGAUCGUUCAGUCUCAUACUGGAGGAAAUCGCCUGAAUCGUGGAUACCUGCGUUUCGGCUCGAUUCGCGGCUUCCUGCAUCGCUGCGAGUUUGUUCACCAAAUGGUGAUUACCGAGCAGAACAUUCUUUUCUUUCAAAACUUCUAAUUGAUUGAUGAAUCGACGGAAUUCUUCCUGAAACAUUCCAGAAAAGAAAGAAAGAAAAAAAAAAAAGAAACGAAGAGGAGACAUUAUUCCCAGUUUAGCUGCAUCAUUGGUAAAUCUGAUUUUCCGAUGUCUAUAUCAUAAUUAACGCGGCAUGGUGGGCUAUUAAUCGGCUUUUCACACAAUGGAUCUCGACGGUUCAACGCCUAUUAAUCGGUAUUUGCCUGCAUAGAAUGCCGAUAUAUGGGAGCCUUCCAGUACAGCUAAACGCGAUUAAUCUUAAAUAAAUUUUUACCUGCAGGUGAUGACUUGUAGGAAAUAAAAUAUAUGAUAAUUUAAAAUUUUGUCGAAAAUUUUCUUUAAAAAAGCUCUCUUCAUAUUAUACUCUUAAAAAACAUUGUAAAUCGAAAGAUGAGUAGAGAUAUAAAUAAACGAAAUAUCACAAAGGAUCUAUAAUAUAUCCACGAUGUGUGAAUAUUUGUUUAAUAUUUUAUAAAAAUAACAAAAGUGAUUUUAUUAUUUUCGAAUUAUUUUUUCUUUAUUAUUUUAUUAUCAGUUUAUUUAUCAUUUAUAUUUAUAAAAAAUACAAAAAAAAUUUUAUUUUAUUCGUGUUUGCUCACCAUAAUUUGAAAAGCUUAUAUAGGAGAUAGAUAUAAGGAGCGUGAUGACUGUCUAAAGGCAGGGAUUUAAUAUCGUGUAUACUAAGGAUUGAGAGGAGGAGCAUCCGACCUGUAGAGUUCGAUAACAGCAUAUUAGUCGGUCCUAUGAAAGGGGAGGCGCAAUUAAUGGAAGAUCAAGUGGUAGCUGGCUCAAUAGGCCUUUACUCUGCUAUAUCUUUGGCCAGGAAGGAAAAUAAUAAAACAUUCAAUAAGAAAAGAGAAACCUUGCGGAAGAUGACGAGCCAGAAAGUCUUUUUCAAGAGCACUUUUUCGUCUUCCAUGGUUAAGUAAAAAAAGAAAAAGAA